UACAGAGGGUGCGAGCGUUGCUCGGAAUCACUGGGCGUAAAGGGUGCGUAGGCGGGUCUUUAAGUCAGGGGUGAAAUCCUGGAGCUCAACUCCAGAACUGCCUUUGAUACUGAAGAUCUUGAGUUCGGGAGAGGUGAGUGGAACUGCGAGUGUAGAGGUGAAAUUCGUAGAUAUUCGCAAGAACACCAGUGGCGAAGGCGGCUCACUGGCCCGAUACUGACGCUGAGGCACGAAAGCGUGGGGAGCAAACAGGG
This 254-nucleotide ribosomal RNA is filed under the name uncultured bacterium. RNAcentral describes it as "partial 16S ribosomal RNA". It matches the Rfam family "Bacterial small subunit ribosomal RNA", at positions 524 to 777 of the family's 1533-position model. The record is from RNAcentral.